Molecule: ribosomal RNA, 707 nt
Filed under: bacterium SCSIO13089
Lineage: Bacteria
Description: bacterial SSU rRNA
Rfam family: Bacterial small subunit ribosomal RNA
Source: RNAcentral
GCGGAUCGAUGGGAGCUUGCUCCCUGAGAUCAGCGGCGGACGGGUGAGUAACACGUGGGUAACCUGCCUGUAAGACUGGGAUAACUCCGGGAAACCGGGGCUAAUACCGGAUAACACCUACCCCCGCAUGGGGGAAGGUUGAAAGGUGGCUUCGGCUAUCACUUACAGAUGGACCCGCGGCGCAUUAGCUAGUUGGUGAGGUAAUGGCUCACCAAGGCGACGAUGCGUAGCCGACCUGAGAGGGUGAUCGGCCACACUGGGACUGAGACACGGCCCAGACUCCUACGGGAGGCAGCAGUAGGGAAUCUUCCGCAAUGGACGAAAGUCUGACGGAGCAACGCCGCGUGAGUGAAGAAGGUUUUCGGAUCGUAAAACUCUGUUGUUAGGGAAGAACAAGUGCCGUUCGAAUAGGGCGGCGCCUUGACGGUACCUAACCAGAAAGCCACGGCUAACUACGUGCCAGCAGCCGCGGUAAUACGUAGGUGGCAAGCGUUGUCCGGAAUUAUUGGGCGUAAAGCGCGCGCAGGUGGUUUCUUAAGUCUGAUGUGAAAGCCCACGGCUCAACCGUGGAGGGUCAUUGGAAACUGGGGAACUUGAGUGCAGAAGAGGAAAGUGGAAUUCCAAGUGUAGCGGUGAAAUGCGUAGAUAUUUGGAGGAACACCAGUGGCGAAGGCGACUUUCUGGUCUGUAACUGACACUGAGGCGCG